GGCUGGUCCGAUGGCAGUGGGUUAUCAGAACUUAUUAACAUUAGUGUCACUAAAGUUGGUAUACAACCCCCCCACCGCUAAAUUUGACUAGAAAA
RNAcentral lists this Y RNA (95 nucleotides) under Octodon degus (degu). Its description in RNAcentral is "Y RNA (ENSODEG00000025705.1)". It matches the Rfam family "Y RNA". From Rfam's summary of the family: Y RNAs are components of the Ro ribonucleoprotein particle (Ro RNP), in association with Ro60 and La proteins. The Y RNAs and Ro60 and La proteins are well conserved, but the function of the Ro RNP is not known. In humans the RNA component can be one of four small RNAs -- hY1, hY3, hY4 and hY5. The record is from Rfam by way of RNAcentral. Lineage: Eukaryota; Metazoa; Chordata; Mammalia; Rodentia; Octodontidae.